UGUCAUAUUAUAAUUUUUAUGGUAGUACCUGCUCUAUGUAUAUUUUUAUAAAUGGCCGCAGUAUCUUGACUGUGCAAAGGUAGCAUAAUUAAUUGCCUUAUAAUUGAAGGCUUGUCUGAAUGGUUUGACGUGGUGAUUGCAAAUAUUUAGUUUUUUUGUGAAAUUGGUAUGGAGGGCACAGAAACCUCCGAUAUUAAUUAGACGGAAAGACCCCAGGAUCUUUUGUUUUUGUCUGGGGCAGAUGAAAAUUUUUCAUUUUUAUUGUGACCCUUUUUGGUUUAGUGAUUUAAGUUACCCUGGGGAUAACAGUGUAAUAGUUUAUUAGAGGCCUUAUCGAAUAAGCUGUUUGCUACCUCGAUGUUGACUUAGGUAAAUAGGCUGGGCGCAGUAGUCUAGUCUUUGGGUCUGUUCGACCUUUAAUGCCUCC
RNAcentral lists this ribosomal RNA (427 nucleotides) under Ophiotaenia paraguayensis. RNAcentral describes it as "partial 16S ribosomal RNA". It matches the Rfam family "Bacterial large subunit ribosomal RNA", at positions 1829 to 2599 of the family's 2925-position model. The record is from RNAcentral. Lineage: Eukaryota; Metazoa; Platyhelminthes; Cestoda; Proteocephalidea; Proteocephalidae.